GUGGGCGGAGUCAGGCCAGGUGGAGUAGGUGGAGCUGGGCCAGGUGGAGUAGGCGGAGUCGGGCCAGGUGGAGCGGGCGGAGUCUGGUCUGGAGUGGGCGGAGCUGGCGCAGGAGGCCUGCCGGGUGGAGGUGUGAGGUAUCCAGGUGCAGGACUGGGAGCAGGGAAGCCCUCUAAAGCAGCUAAAGCAGCGAAGUACGCCUCGCUCCUGGGUUUGCUGGGUGCUGGGGGUUACAGAGGGGGCGCCGGAUGUCAAGGGAAGUACUGCGGCAGACGGCGAAAGUGAACGGCCCCAAGAAUGACGUGACCUCAAGAAAUAUUGGUGCUACUGCAUGAUCUGGAGAAUGUACAUUUGUUAUUUACAAAAAAAAUUUUUUUUACGUUUUGUACUGUACUUCUGUCACUGAAAUAUUAAACAUUUUUAAAUCAAU
Long non-coding RNA from Conger conger (European conger), 430 nucleotides. RefSeq lists it as uncharacterized. NCBI's taxonomy places the organism in Eukaryota, Metazoa, Chordata, Actinopteri, Anguilliformes, Congridae. The transcript is spliced from 4 exons. The record is from RefSeq and is a predicted model, not a curated record.